Molecule: long non-coding RNA, 461 nt
Filed under: Lathyrus oleraceus (garden pea)
Lineage: Eukaryota; Viridiplantae; Streptophyta; Magnoliopsida; Fabales; Fabaceae
Description: Pisum sativum (pea) long non-coding RNA (PSAT_LNC027218)
Source: RNAcentral
AAAGAUACAAGCUAAGACAAAUGGCUUCAAGGAAUGAGAGUCUUCAGGUACUGACAUUGGUCUAUCAACAUGUCACACUCUGAACAUUUUGGCAAAGGAGUGAGCUUCUCCUUCAGUUGCCUUCUGAGCUCCACAACUUCUCCUCCAAGUUGGCUCUCUGAUGCAUGUCUCAAGUCUACUUCCUUCUUCAACUGGAUGUCUUUGUCUCUAAGUUGCUUCUCCAAGUCUCUUAUCUUCUUCUGAUAACACCACAACUUCUCCUCCAAGUUGGCUCUCUGAUGCAUGUCUCAAGUCUACUUCCUUCUUCAACUGGAUGUCUUUGUCUCUAAGUUGCUUCUCCAAGUCUCUUAUCUUCUUCUGAUAACUGGCUUCAGCUCUCUGCAACCUCAAGCACUCACGAUGUUCUGCAUUCAACAGGGUCUCCACCUCCUCAUAGGACAUCUUCUUACCCUUCAGUCUAG